This 253-nucleotide ribosomal RNA is filed under the name uncultured bacterium. RNAcentral describes it as "partial 16S ribosomal RNA". It matches the Rfam family "Bacterial small subunit ribosomal RNA", at positions 524 to 776 of the family's 1533-position model. The record is from RNAcentral.
UACAGAGGGUGCGAGCGUUAAUCGGAAUUACUGGGCGUAAAGGGCGCGUAGGCGGCCGUCUAAGUCAGACGUGAAAUCCCCCGGCUUAACCUGGGAACUGCGUCUGAUACUGGACGGCUCGAGUAUGGGAGAGGGAUGUAGAAUUCCAGGUGUAGCGGUGAAAUGCGUAGAUAUCUGGAGGAAUACCGGUGGCGAAGGCGGCAUCCUGGACCAUUACUGACGCUGAGGCGCGAAAGCUAGGGGAGCAAACGGG